GUGACCGCCCAGGUAUGCUACCAAGGCGCCGACGGGUAUCCGGCCUGAGAGGGUGAACGGACACAUUGGGACUGAGAUACGGCCCAGACUCCUACGGGAGGCAGCAGUGGGGAAUAUUGCACAAUGGGCGCAAGCCUGAUGCAGCGACGCCGCGUGAGGGAUGAAGGCCUUCGGGUUGUAAACUCCUUUCGCUAUCGACGAAGCCACUUGUGGUGACGGCAGGUAU
RNAcentral lists this ribosomal RNA (226 nucleotides) under uncultured Corynebacterium sp. RNAcentral's name for it is "partial 16S ribosomal RNA". It matches the Rfam family "Bacterial small subunit ribosomal RNA", at positions 252 to 482 of the family's 1533-position model. The record is from RNAcentral. Lineage: Bacteria; Bacillati; Actinomycetota; Actinomycetes; Mycobacteriales; Corynebacteriaceae.